Long non-coding RNA from Portunus trituberculatus (swimming crab), 346 nucleotides. RefSeq lists it as uncharacterized. The record is from RefSeq and is a predicted model, not a curated record. The transcript is spliced from 2 exons. Lineage: Eukaryota; Metazoa; Arthropoda; Malacostraca; Decapoda; Portunidae.
GAGAGAGAGAGAGAGAGAGAGAGAGAGAGAGAGAGAGAGAGAGAGAGAGAGAGAGAGAGAGAGAGAGAGAGAGUAUAUACUAUAUAUAUGGAAGAGGUGUGUGUGUGUGUGCGUGCGUGUAUAUAUGAAUAUGGGAGUGGAGGUGUCUUCAGCCUUAAGCUAAAGCCGGGCUCAAUGUUUGCAAUAAGCCAACAGUGCUUGCAGCGCUCAGUGCUCACCCCGCACACUUCACCUCUUGUCGCUGCCCGUCAAUGAGCCCCGCCGCACCUACUGGCGCCCACACCUCGCCCGUGUGUGGUCACUACCCUCCCCCACCUGCCCCAGCCUCCCUCCCCUUGGCUUGUUU